This is a non-coding RNA of Arachis ipaensis, 276 nucleotides long. The record is from RefSeq and is a predicted model, not a curated record. Lineage: Eukaryota; Viridiplantae; Streptophyta; Magnoliopsida; Fabales; Fabaceae.
AUCAAAUUAGGGCUUCAGUCAGAGCAUCCCCUCACUCCAUCUUCUCAUUCGUGCUUCAAAGUGAAGGUUCCAGCCUCUGUGUCGCCAUUGUCAGCACAGCCCCGUCGUCGCCGCCGUCGUAACCACCGCAAGGAUAACAUCCGAGGAACCCAGUUGAGAGAGUCUCCUCUGUUGCUGUCGAUUUCAUCAGACUUCGUUGUUGUCAUCACAGUUUGUGUAACCUAGGUAACAAGUAGGAAAGGAAGUUAUGCAAAGGAAGCUAAUGAUAAUGCAUCA